Molecule: long non-coding RNA, 1397 nt
Filed under: Cinara cedri
Lineage: Eukaryota; Metazoa; Arthropoda; Insecta; Hemiptera; Aphididae
Source: RNAcentral
AAUGAAACGUAAUAAUCGUACAUUCGAAUAGAAUAUAGGUACAAAAAUUGCAUUACUACCAAAUAGUAUCCCAGUGGCUAAGUAAAUAAGUGUGUACUUAAAACCUAAAUAAAUACCAUUUUUGUUUUUACAGUUAAAUUAGUAAAAUUGUCGGUGUUUUUGAUUAUUUCUGUAUGUAAAAUCUUUAAAUUAAUGAUAAGCUAAUAAAUAAUAAUUACUACUUGUAUAUUAUGUUAGAAAUAAUCUUUUUACAGAUAAUGAACAUUUUGUCGAGUGUCAUACUUGAAUUAUUUGAUGGACACACAUUUUUACAUUUAAAGGAAUCAAUUUUCAACACUGGGCAGUAACAGUGCUGUGAUAUCCAAGAUGUCUAUAAAAUAUGCCUAGAUAAUUAGUGCUUAUUAAUCAGUCUUGAAUGUUUUCAUACAGCCAUUGUUACUGGCGAUACAGUCAUUUGCUAUUGAAUAUAGAAUUAUGUGUGGCCGAAGUUAAAGAGAUGCUAAGUAUUUAGAUAAAAUAAAUAAAUUACAAAAUAUUUUAAAUUAUAAAAAAAAGGGAAUAUAUUUUCAACUCAGUAUCUAAAGCGUUAGGUACAUAUUAAGUGUUUAUAUGUUAUUUGUUUUAUGAUUAUUUUAAUUAUUUUACUUAUUAAAAAAAUUAAUAUUAUGCCAUUAUAAUGUAGGUAGAUCACAUUAUACUCAAAUAUGCCAUUAGAAGAAUUUGUUUGUCGGGUACAACGAAUGACAAAGUAUACAAGUAGACGAAUACCUUUUUGAUGGAACGUAAAAAAAUUAUAAGUAACAUUAGAAUUACUACCGUGUAAAUGUAGAACAUAUUUGGUACACCAAACUUCUUUCUCAGAGUAAGGUUUAUUUUGAAUUAAUUUUAUUAUUUGGAAAUUCAAUAUUUCCAAUUUGUAUUCAUUUACAGAUAUCUAAGACAAGGAAAAUUUCAAUGACUACUUUGAAUGGAUAUAAUUCAAACUCAAACUGCACUUCAAAUCCACUUCAUAGAUGAACUCAAAGGGACUCAUUAGUAUUAGCUCUCUAGUGUUUAAAUUUUAUAUGAUAUUGUCAGAACUUAGUAUUUCAAGAAUAGGAAAUUUAUAUUUUUUGUAUAGAUAUAUCUGAGGAUUUUCUAAAUUGUGUUUCACAACCUAAGAGUCACAAUGUUCAUAAACUAAUAAAGAAAAAUUUAUAUAUAUAUAAAUGUAAGAAAAAUAUCUUGAUUGUAUCUGUAUGCCCAUACAAAAAAAGAGGACUCAGGAAUUUCACUGAUAUUAAAACAAAUUAUUUUAUUACAUUUAAAUCAAUACUUAAUUGCAGUAAAUAGUUAUUUCCAAAAGACAUUUUUGAUUUCACAAUUUUUAAUGGGUUGAAAAUCCUAUCAUUAUUUCC